Electrophorus electricus (electric eel) is the source of this 1211-nucleotide non-coding RNA. Lineage: Eukaryota; Metazoa; Chordata; Actinopteri; Gymnotiformes; Gymnotidae. The record is from RefSeq and is a predicted model, not a curated record.
UCUGGAAACAAAUGGACUAUGAAAUACAGCAAAGAGACAAUAUGUGCUUUAAAAGGGUCCACUGUGUUUAGGAAUGGCUCUUAUACACACCCAGACCAUCUUACAGUGACAGAAGCCUUUUGGUAUAUAGACCCAGAGGAUGAACACCAGUACUGCUACAGAAUCCAAACACGCACAGAGAAAUGGGUGGGUAUUCCUGGAAUACAGCUGAAAUUUACAGACACUGAGAAAACAAUACAGAGACCAUCGCCAUAGUAAUAAAGUCUACAGGAAACUUUUUUUAGGCUUAUGACCUGGGAUUAUACUGAACUUCGAUUUGGGUGUCAUUGUCUCGCCACUCUCAUGUGUUCACUGUUGACUGAAGUUGUAGAGUUGUUUCUCAUAGCCUGUGGUACCAGUAUGAAUGUUCUCAUCAUCUAGCUCAGUGUCAGCUUCUGGAGUCUGAUUCUGGCUCACUGAGUUCUGGUUUCCAAAUUGAUCCCCCUUAUAGUCAAACAAACUGUGGACAGAUAACAGAGAACUUUUUAAAACACUAGGGUUAGAAACUUCAUUUGGGGAUCAGUAUUUCUCAAAGCCAAUUAUUUAUAAACUAAAUGAAGACAUAAUAACAUUCUUCAUAUAUCAUGAUAUUUUUAAUCCCCUCAUCACUCACCUGUCUUCUUCCUGAAUGACACCAGGACAUCAACCAAAGGCUCUAAAAGGGGGUGGGUACAUACUGGAUAAAAGAAAACAGGUCAAUGAAAAAGAUUCAGAUAUUCUGUUUUCAUUCAUUUUUUUGAUUUUAUACAGUGAAUUUAACAAAAUAUAUUGUCUAAAAUCAGCUUUACAGUACACAGGUCUAGACCACACAUGGGGUGUAAGAAAGUUACCUCAGGAUUACCAAACUGAAGAGCUAAACUGUGUCUCUUGGGUCAAGGCUAGAGAGUAAUGCUCACACAAACACAUGAAGUAUAGAAAUGUGAAAACCACAUUACAUAAUAAAAUGUAAUAAAUGAAUGUGUCAUUAAGAUCAUACAGACUUAGGGUAUAAGAAAUCUAUAAAAAUGUGCCUGCAGUCUAGAUGUCCAAGCAAAUGUGUGUGAUUUUACUGACAGUCUUACCCUUGUAAUGUAAGGACAAAAACAUAAGCAUCCAAACCACAGACGUCAUCAACAACACACAGUGAGACAGUGAGAUGAAGCUGCCAAACUGUCAAAAGAAACACAUGUCUU